Molecule: RNase P RNA, 317 nt
Filed under: bovine gut metagenome
Description: Bacterial RNase P class B
Rfam family: Bacterial RNase P class B
About the family: Ribonuclease P (RNase P) is a ubiquitous endoribonuclease, found in archaea, bacteria and eukarya as well as chloroplasts and mitochondria. Its best characterised activity is the generation of mature 5'-ends of tRNAs by cleaving the 5'-leader elements of precursor-tRNAs. Cellular RNase Ps are ribonucleoproteins.
Source: RNAcentral
GGAUGAUAGCUGGUUAUUCCAGAGGAAAGUCCAUGCUCGCACAGGCUGUGAUGCCUGUAGUGAUUGCGCUAGCGGAACAAAUAACGCUAGGGAUGCGGGAGCGCAUUACGGCGGAAGAAGACCUAAGGCUUAGGCUAUGGUGGCCUUCCUGAAAGUGCCACAGUGACGGAGUUUAACAGAAAUGUUAAAGUGGAACGCGGUAAACCCCACAAGCGAGAAACCCAAAUUUGGUAGGGGAGGCUUAUACGGAGAAACGAAUCCUAAAAAGCAGGCAUUGCCUAGAUAAAUUAUCAUCUUAAACAAAACAUGGCUUACAA